RNAcentral lists this ribosomal RNA (253 nucleotides) under uncultured bacterium. Its description in RNAcentral is "partial 16S ribosomal RNA". It matches the Rfam family "Bacterial small subunit ribosomal RNA", at positions 524 to 776 of the family's 1533-position model. The record is from RNAcentral.
UACGCAGGGGGCAAGCGUUGUCCGGAAUUAUUGGGCGUAAAGAGCGUGUAGGCGGCCAGAUAAGUCCGCUGUGAAAUCUCGAGGCUCAACUUCGAGCUGUCGGUGGAAACUAUCUGGCUAGAGUCCGGAAGAGGAGAGUGGAAUUCCUGGUGUAGCGGUGAAAUGCGCAGAUAUCAGGAAGAACACCCGUGGCGAAGGCGGCUCUCUGGGACGGUACUGACGCUGAGACGCGAAAGCGUGGGGAGCGAACAGG